Molecule: ribosomal RNA, 272 nt
Filed under: uncultured bacterium
Lineage: Bacteria
Description: partial 16S ribosomal RNA
Rfam family: Bacterial small subunit ribosomal RNA
Source: RNAcentral
UACGAAGGGGGCUAGCGUUGCUCGGAAUCACUGGGCGUAAAGGGUGCGUAGGCGGGUCUUUAAGUCAGAGGUGAAAUCCUGGAGCUCAACUCCAGAACUGCCUUUGAUACUGAGGAUCUUGAGUUCGGGAGAGGUGAGUGGAACUGCGAGUGUAGAGGUGAAAUUCGUAGAUAUUCGCAAGAACACCGGAGGCGAAGGCGGCUUGCUGGGCUUGGUCUGACGCUGAGGCGCGAAAGCGUGGGGAGCAAACAGGAUUGAGAUACCGGAGUAAG